UGGGCGCAGCCGGGCAGAGCGAGGCCGCGGGAGGCCGCCGGCCCCGGGUCACCGCCACCGCCGGCCCCGCGGCGCCGCUGUCACUUCGGUCCCGCGACCCCAACUUUCCGCACAGUCGCGGAGCUGGAAGUUUCCGGGCUUCGCGGGCGCUGGGCUGGGUUUCAGCAGCGACGUCUGAGCUUGGCAACAAAGAGGGAAAGCAGGCCUGGAGAGGGAGGAAAGAAAGAAAGACAUGGAGAGCGGCCCGGCUACUUAGAAGUCUCCAGAACUUGAAAUUCCACCCAGAAGCUUUUUUUGGUCGUUUCUUCUUAAGUGCGUCCUGGGGACAUGUCUGGGCUGGAGGAGGCAGCCGAGGGGCCCCAGGCCCAGGAACCUGCACAGUGGCCAAGCCCAGUCCCUCCCAGGGCCAUCUGAGCACUGGACCAGGAGCUGAGAGGCAUGGGGCACCAGCUGUCACUCGACCUUGGGACACCCCCGCCCUGCCCUGUUCAUCCGUUUGUCUGUCCUUCCUGCAAGACGUGUUUAUGGAGAAAACUGACCCAGGCCUGCUAGUCCAGAGCUCUGUGAAAAGCUAGGAGAAUGGGGCUGUUGGUUUGUGUUUUAAAGAGAAAUGAGCGAGGGUGCCAUGGAGGGCAGGUUGUGGGGGGGGGAAUAUGUUGUCAUUUGUCUCACAGAAGUGGGCAGAGCUUCAAAGUGCUGGAGAGCCUCUCCCUUCAGUGGCUGUUUGUCCGUCCAGUGCUUUCUGCACGGCGAUUCUUUCUAGGGUCAGUCCCGGAGGGCCAGGCAGAGUUUGUGGAAGAGGCCACACCCUG
RNAcentral lists this long non-coding RNA (812 nucleotides) under Sus scrofa (pig). RNAcentral describes it as "lncRNA (ENSSSCG00015009382.1)". Lineage: Eukaryota; Metazoa; Chordata; Mammalia; Artiodactyla; Suidae. The record is from RNAcentral.